RNAcentral lists this ribosomal RNA (301 nucleotides) under uncultured bacterium. Its description in RNAcentral is "partial 16S ribosomal RNA". It matches the Rfam family "Bacterial small subunit ribosomal RNA", at positions 509 to 807 of the family's 1533-position model. The record is from RNAcentral.
CAGUAGCCGCGGUAAUACGGAGGGGGCUAGCGUUGUUCGGAAUGACUGGGCGUAAAGCGCGCGUAGGCGGGCUGGAAAGUCAGGGGUGAAAUCCCGGGGCUCAACCUCGGAAUUGCCUUUGAAACUCCCAGCCUUGAGUUCGAGAGAGGUGAGUGGAAUUCCGAGUGUAGAGGUGAAAUUCGUAGAUAUUCGGAGGAACACCGGUGGCGAAGGCGGCUCACUGGCUCGACACUGACGCUGAGGUGCGAAAGCGUGGGGAGCAAACAGGAUUAGAUACCCCAGUAGUCCCUGUCUCUUAUAC